UAGCUGUCCCAAUUGUAUUUAGCAUACACGUUACAAACUCUUGGAUGUGAUCAAAUAUAGUUAUUUGAAUAAAAACAUUAUUUCGUAUAUUCAUCAUUCCUAAUACCAAAUACUCAAGUUAAUUCUUGGUAGCCUCAUUUGUGACUCUCUCCAUGCUUAGUAUUAAGAUUUUGGAAUGAAUAAUGUUUGAAAGAGUGCUGACUUUAGUUAUUCUAUAUAAACCCCC
Molecule: long non-coding RNA, 226 nt
Filed under: Physcomitrium patens
Lineage: Eukaryota; Viridiplantae; Streptophyta; Bryopsida; Funariales; Funariaceae
Description: long non-coding RNA (PPAT_LNC006837)
Source: RNAcentral